Otolemur garnettii (small-eared galago) is the source of this 366-nucleotide long non-coding RNA. RefSeq lists it as uncharacterized. The record is from RefSeq and is a predicted model, not a curated record. The transcript has 4 exons. NCBI's taxonomy places the organism in Eukaryota, Metazoa, Chordata, Mammalia, Primates, Galagidae.
ACAAUGACGAUAACUCAGGACCUUCGGACCAGCCCAGUGUGUUAGUAUUGUGUACUCCAUCCCUCAGGCUGAGCUCCGGGGCCGCGUGCUGAGCUUGUCCGUGUGGCACCGUGAAAGCCUGGGUCGCAACAUCUUUUUGGGCGAAGUCGAAGUGCCCCUGGACACGUGGAACUGGGACUCUGAGCCUACCUGGCUCCCCCUGCGGCCCCGGGUUCCACCCUCUCCCGAUGAGCUUCCCAGCCGUGGGCUGCUCUCCCUGUCCCUCAAGUACGUCCCUGCCGGCUCAGAGGGCGCCGGACAGCCCCCAAGCGGGGAGCUGCACUUCUGGGUGAAGGAAGCUCAGGACCUCAUCCCACUGCGUUCAGG